GGGCCCGUAGUCUAGCGGUAGGAUUGAAAGCCGUUCCCUAAAGCCCGCCUGACGCGCGGGAGAUCCCGGGUUCAAAUCCCGGCGGGCCCA
This 90-nucleotide transfer RNA is filed under the name Thermoproteus uzoniensis 768-20. RNAcentral describes it as "tRNA-Val". It matches the Rfam family "tRNA". Rfam says of the family: Transfer RNA (tRNA) molecules are approximately 80 nucleotides in length. Their secondary structure includes four short double-helical elements and three loops (D, anti-codon, and T loops). Further hydrogen bonds mediate the characteristic L-shaped molecular structure. tRNAs have two regions of fundamental functional importance: the anti-codon, which is responsible for specific mRNA codon recognition, and the 3' end, to which the tRNAs corresponding amino acid is attached (by aminoacyl-tRNA synthetases). tRNAs cope with the degeneracy of the genetic code in two manners: having more than one tRNA (with a specific anti-codon) for a particular amino acid; and 'wobble' base-pairing, i.e. permitting non-standard base-pairing at the 3rd anti-codon position. The record is from RNAcentral. Lineage: Archaea; Thermoproteati; Thermoproteota; Thermoprotei; Thermoproteales; Thermoproteaceae.